CACGUAUUUAGCCGUCACUUCUUCUGUUGGUACCGUCACUUUCUUCUUCCCAACUGAAAGCACUUUACAUUCCGAAAAACUUCAUCGUGCACACAGAAUUGCUGGAUCAGACUUUUGGUCCAUUGUCCAAUAUUCCCCACUGCUGCCUCCCGUAGGAGUAAGGGCCGUGUCUCAGUCCCCUUGUGGCCGUUCACCCUCUCAGGCCGGCUACCCAUCAUCGCCUUGGUGAGCCGUUACCUCUCCAACUAGCUAAUGGGACGCAAAGCUCUCUCACAGCGCAUAUAGCUUUCAUAAUCAAAUGAUGCCAUUCGAUCAUAAUAUUCGGUAUUAGCAUUCGUUUCCAAAUGUUGUCCCAAACUGUGAGGCAAGUUCUUACGCGUUACUCACCCGUCCGCCACCCAAACGAGUUCAAGUAGACUUGCAUGUGUAAGCAUUCUGUCAGCGUUCAUCCUGAGCCAGGAUCAAACUCU
This 470-nucleotide ribosomal RNA is filed under the name uncultured Fusobacterium sp. RNAcentral describes it as "partial 16S ribosomal RNA". The record is from RNAcentral. Lineage: Bacteria; Fusobacteriati; Fusobacteriota; Fusobacteriia; Fusobacteriales; Fusobacteriaceae.